Molecule: ribosomal RNA, 421 nt
Filed under: uncultured bacterium
Lineage: Bacteria
Description: bacterial SSU rRNA
Rfam family: Bacterial small subunit ribosomal RNA
Source: RNAcentral
GUUUGAUCCUGGCUCAGAGCGAACGUUAGCGGCAGGCUUAACACAUGCAAGUCGAGCGAGAAAGGGGCUUCGGCUCCGAGUAAAGCGGCGGACGGGUGCGUAACACGUGGAUAAUCUGCCUCGUGGCGGGGGACAACAGUCCGAAAGGACUGCUAAUACCGCAUGUCAGGUCGGAAACUCCGGUUUCUGACGAAAAAGAGGGCGCCCGCAAGGGGCUCUCACCACGAGAUGAGUCCGCGUCCCAUCAGCUAGUUGGCGGUGUAAUAGACCACCAAGGCUUAGACGGGUAGGCUGGUCUGAGAGGAUGACCAGCCACACUGGGACUGAGACACGGCCCAGACUCCUACGGGAGGCAGCAGUGGGGAAUAUUGGACAAUGGGCGAAAGCCUGAUCCAGCCAUGCCGCGUGAGUGAUGAAGGCC